RNAcentral lists this ribosomal RNA (371 nucleotides) under uncultured bacterium. Its description in RNAcentral is "bacterial SSU rRNA". It matches the Rfam family "Bacterial small subunit ribosomal RNA", at positions 527 to 896 of the family's 1533-position model. The record is from RNAcentral.
GUAGGGGGCAAGCGUUGUCCGGAAUCAUUGGGCGUAAAGCGCGUGUAGGCGGCUCGAUAAGUCUGCUGUGAAGGUCCAGGGCUCAACCCUGGGAUGCCGGUGGAUACUGUCGAGCUCGAGUCCGGAAGAGGAGUGUGGAAUUCCUGGUGUAGCGGUGAAAUGCGCAGAUAUCAGGAGGAACACCGAUAGCGAAGGCAGCACUCUGGUACGUGACUGACGCUGAGACGCGAAAGCGUGGGGAGCAAACAGGAUUAGAUACCCUGGUAGUCCACGCCGUAAACGAUGGGCACUAGGUGUGGGAGGUGUCGACUCCUCCCGUGCCGAAGCUAACGCAUUAAGUGCCCCGCCUGGGGAGUACGGUCGCAAGACUA